GACGAACGCUGGCGGCGUGCUUAACACAUGCAAGUCGAACGGAAAGGCCCUUCGGGGUACUCGAGUGGCGAACGGGUGAGUAACACGUGGGUGAUCUGCCCUGCACUUUGGGAUAAGCCUGGGAAACUGGGUCUAAUACCGAUUAGGACCACGCGCUUCAUGGUGUGUGGUGGAAAGCUUUUGCGGUGUGGGAUGUGGCCCGCGGCCUAUCAGCUUGUUGGUGGGGUAAUGGCCUACCAAGGCGACGACGGGUAGCCGGCCUGAGAGGGUGACCGGCAACACUGGGACUGAGAUACGUCCCAGACUCCUACGGGGGGCAGCAGUGGGGAAUAUUGCACAAUGGGCGCAAGCCUGAUGCAGCGACGCCGCGUGAGGGAUGACGGCCUUCGGGUUGUAAACCUCUUUCGCCAGGGACGAAGCGCAAGUGACGGUACCUGGAGAAGAAGGACCGGCCAACUACGUGCCAGCAGCCGCCGUAA
RNAcentral lists this ribosomal RNA (479 nucleotides) under uncultured bacterium. RNAcentral describes it as "partial 16S ribosomal RNA". It matches the Rfam family "Bacterial small subunit ribosomal RNA", at positions 28 to 523 of the family's 1533-position model. The record is from RNAcentral.